AUGGACGGCCCGGGAUGCUUCGCGCCAACGGCAGGGAAUUUAAACUUAGCCGGACUGCUGUUGAUUCUUCAGUUGGGUCCUGACAUGGUGAUGCAGAAUCAACUAAACUUUCAUGUGCGGGUGAAGUCCAUUGAUGGAUUCCAAGGAGAAGAGGAUGAUAUAAUAAUACUAUCAACUGUUAGAUCCAAUGGGAGAGGAGUUGUUGGAUUUCUUGCUGAUAGCCGAAGAACAAAUGUUGCUCUUACUAGAGCAAGGCACUGUCUAUGGAUUGUUGGCAAUGCUCAUACGCUGUAUAAAAGUGGGACCGAAUGGACUGACCUUGUUGCUGAUGCAGAAAGACGUAAAUGUGUUUUCAGUGCCACUAAUGACGCGACCAUCUGUAGGUUGGUCUUGCAAGUAAAGCAAGAGCUUGAUGAACUUGAUGAUCGUCUGAAUGCCGAUUCAGUGGUUUUCAGCAAUACCAGAUGGAAGGUCAUUCUUAGCGAUGAGUUUAGGAAGUCUUUCACCAAACUAAAAUCACCACAGCUCAGGAGGGAAGUACUCCAAAAGCUUAUCAAACUUGGACGUGGUUGGAGGACAACAGUUAAGAACCUCGAUUUACCUGGUGUUUCUCAUCUUCCAAAAGUAUACAAGGUUAGGGACCUGUAUCUUGUAUGGAGUACUGACAUGGAGAAAACCGAAAGAAGGUACACGGAUGAUUACCUGGAUCACUGCAGGAGAGUGCAGACACAGGGGAAACUGGAGGUUCCUAAGAAUUCAAAAGUUAGUGAAAGCUUCUUGCUGAUGAAGUUCUACUCUUUAUCAUCUGGAAUGGCAAAGCAUUUGCUGACAGCUACUGAUGGGUCUGAAAUCAACAUCCCCUUUGAACUGAGUGAUGAAGAGCGGGUGGUAAUCCAAUUCCCGCUCACUAGUUUUAUACUUGGGAGGUCGGGCACCGGAAAAACUACUGUAUUGACAAUGAAACUGAUUCAAAAAGAGCAACUGUCAUUGAUUGCAUCCCAAGGUCUAAAUUUGGAUGGAGCUGAUUUGUCUGUGGUGGAUGACAAUAAUAUUAUGCCACUAAAGAAUGCAGGAGAAAGUUCUGUGAAACAAGUAUUUAUCACUGUGAGCCGAAAGUUAUGUUCAGCCGUAAAAGAUCACAUCUGCAGACUUAAAACCUGUGAACUAUCUGCUAGAGAUUCUACACCCAUACUGAAAGCAAUGUACGAGGCUACGAGCCUGGCUCAAGAAGGAAUACUCCAACAGGCUAUGCAUUCCCAAUGUUUGGCCUUGGAUUACUGUCAGCUACGAGAUGAAGUUCGGAGAAAGGAGCUAAAACUUGACUCACCAAGGAGCUGGAGUGGCUGGAGGUCGAGCUGGGCUGCUAGACGUCGACGGGGCGGAUCUCGACUGCGAGGGAGUCAGUCCAUGGUGAUGGAGUCGGCGCUGGACAGGUGGGAGGGAAUGGGGAAUGGUGGAGAGAGGGAGGAAGGAGGAAGGAGGAGAGGUACCUGGUCGCCGGAGGGGUCGGGGUCGGGGUCGGCGAAGGGGUCGCGGUCGGGAUCCGAGCUCUUCCGGGUCCUCGCUCGCCGCGGUCGAAGGAGAGCAGGGGCCGUUUCUCACAUUAAGGGCGCAUAUCAAGCGACAGGGCCUUAUACUGGCAAACUGGGAAGACAAGAUUAUGUGAUGCUCUCAGAUAAAAGAUUUUCAUCUCUGAACAAAGAGAAAAGAAAUAAAAUUUAUGAUAUAUUCCUUGAAUAUGAGAGUAUGAAAUGCACUGCCAGGGAGUUUGAUUUGUCAGAUUUUGUAAGUAGUCUUCACAGUAAUUUUGUAUCUGAUGGCUACAAUGGAGAUAUGGUGGAUUUUGUUUACAUAGAUGAGGUACAGGAUCUGACCAUGACACAAAUAGCACUUCUUAAGUAUGUCUGCAGGAACAUCAAGGAAGGCUUCCUUUUUGCUGGUGACACUGCACAGACUAUAGCAAGGGGUAUCGAUUUCAGGUUUGAUGAUAUCCGUUCACUUUUUUAUACUGCAUUCCUCACAGAAACUGAUGUGUUUAAUCAAGGACUUAAACAUGGGGUCCAUCUCUCUGAUAUGUUCCAAUUGUCUCAAAAUUUCCGCACACAUUGCGGCAUCCUCCGUAUGGCACAAAGUAUCAUGAGUCUUCUAUGUUCCUUUUUCCCAUCAAGUGUUGACCAGCUUAAUCCAGAGAUUGGACUUGUAUAUGGAGAAGCUCCUGUGCUGCUGGAGUCGGAUAACGAUGAAAAUGCAAUUAUGAGUAUUUUUGGAGAAAGCAAAAGUAAACGUGGUAAUCUGCAUGGCUUUGGUGCUGAGCAAGUCAUAUUAGUUCGUGAUGAUGGUACCAAAAAACAAAUUAUCGAUCUUAUUGGUAAACAAGCUCUUGUUUUGACUAUUGUUGAAUACUCUGAGGGGAUCUCUCACCCAGAUUUCGAUAGAAGCAAGCAUUAUCUACUCUGUUCAGAGCUGAAGCAACUCUAUGUUGCAAUCACAUGUACUAGGCAAAGACUGUGGAUAUGUGAAAAUACAGAGGAUUACUGUAGACCAAUGUUUGACUACUGGAAGAAGUUGUGUCUUGUAGAAGUUAGAUUACUUGAUUCUGCCCUCAUCCAGGCCAUGAAGACAGGGAGCAGCUGUGAUGAUUGGAGGCUACGGGGAACCAAGUUAUUCAAUGAGGGGCAAUUCGAGAUAGCUACUAUGUGUUUCGAAAAGGCUGGUGAUGCACACAGAGAGAAGUGGGCAAGAGCUGCUGGACUUGUAGCGAUUGCUGACCAUGCCAUCUCCACAAAUUUGGAGUUAGGCAAGGCUUCAUUGCAAACGGAAUCAGAGAUUUAUGAGGCCAUAGGAAUGCAUGAGAAAGCUGCUACGUGCUAUAUCAAAUUAGGCGACUACAAAAGAGCAGGUAUGGUCUACAUGCAAAAAUGUGGUACUUCUAGACUUGAGGAUGCUGGUGACUGUUUUGCUAGGGCUGAAUGCUGGUCCGAGGUAGCUGAAGUGUUCUUCAAAGCUAAAUGUUACACCAAGUGUUUCUCCAUGUGCUCAAAAGGAAAGCAAUUAUUCAAUCUGGGCUUGCAGUUUCUGCAACAGUUGGAGGAGGAACAUUCGCUCGAGAAUUCAAAAUCCCUGGAGAUUUCUGCAAUUAGAUCGAAGUAUCUGGAUAAUUGUGCUCAACAUUGUUUUCAAUGUGGAGACAUGAAGCGUAUGAUGCCUUUUGUCAAGGUUUUCAGCUCUAUGGAUAAUGUACAUGCAUUCUUAAAGUCUAGGAAUCUUCUUGACGAACUGUUUAGUUUAGAGAUGGAAAAUGGUAAUUUCAUUGAAGCUGCAGGAAUAGCAAGGCAUAAAGGAGAUGCCUUACUGGAGGUGAAAAUGCUUGAGAAGGUAGAUUUAUUUGAGGAUGCAACACGGCUUCUCCUCCUCCACAUCAUUGUAAAUUCCUUUUGGACUUUAAAUAACAAAGGGUGGCCUCCCAAAAGAAACCCAGAGAAGGAACAGUUGCUUGCAGAAGCCAAAGAGAUGGCGAAGAAGGUAUCUGAUUGCUUCUACUCCUUUGUUUGCCUGGAAGCUGAUGCACUAUCGGAUGUGAUUAAAUCUCUUCCUGAUUUAACUUGCACUUUGCUUGAGGGCAAAAAAUGUGGAAAUUUGUUUGUUGAAUAUAUUGCUUCCCGUUCGAUCAUUGAUGUUCAUCUUCAGUCUCGAACCUCUGGAUACAAUGUACAGAUAGGGCCAGGAUCUGAAGAUGAAAAUGUUAUGUAUGAAGAUCUUUUCGCCAAGUACUUUGGAUUGAGAAAAGAUGACGAAGGUGACAGAUAUGUGGUGCUUAACAUGAAUGCAAGUUGGCUUUCUAAUGCUGGCAGAAGUUCUUUGCAGCAAGAUGGCAACAGAUGUUUACUGGAUGCCCCUCAGUGUCAUUCGUGUGCUCAGUAUUUCUGGAUGAAUGAGCUGUCUUCUGUUGGUUUCAGUGUACUUAAGAAGUUGGAGUCAUUUGUUCAAAUUCCUCCAAAGCCAGAAUCUUUGUAUACCCUGGUGAGAACUAACGUUAUUAUAAAUGAGAUAGAAAAGUUUUUGGAAGAACCACAGUUCAGUGUGCCAAAAAUGAAGUUAAGAAGCUUCUUUGUUCUCUGCGAGCGUCGCUUCUUUGAGCUAUUUUUUCUUGCGUGGAGAGACGGGACGACGAGGAGCCUAUUGCAUAUACUUGACUCGCCAGCUGCAUAUGGAUUGAUUGCUGAUUCUCUUAGUGCACAUCUUCGGCGAACAGAUAAAAAUCUGACUCAUGGGCAUCUUGGGAGAACGACCAUGCUUCUGCUUCAUGCAGCACGACUGGAUGAUGCGCUACUUUCAAGACUACUACAUUACCUGGACAAUAAUUCUGAGUGGGCAGAUUGUUAUCAAUGUUUGAAGGGAUUUCUUGAUGCUGGUAUUUCAAGACCCCCCUUGAUAUUGAACUUUAAGCAUGCUCUUGAUUUUACCUUCAGUGGUGUGAUGCGGAGGGAUGAACUGGAGUAUAUAUCCCCAAUAUGCUAUGUGGGUCUGAUGGAGUGCCUUGGUUUCAUGGCUUCAUCAUACUUUCUACAGAAAGGUUGUAUAUACUGCACGAAGUCUCUGUUGGUCAAUAUGCUGGAGUGCCGUACUAGCAAGGUUUACCUUGAUACCUGCCUGACAUCUAAUCCGAGCCCAGAUUACCAUCUUGAUUGUUUGGCACGCUCAUCAAGGCGUUUCAUAUUUGAGACAAUUAUGGCUAUGUUGACAGACAAGGAUAUGCUCUUGCAGUGGGUACAGAAGACAUCAACUCCUAGUUCAUACUCUGAAGUCCUCCUGAGACUAGUGGUCACACUUUAUCCACUGAUCCUAACUCAGUGGAAUUGUUAUGAGGUCACAAAUACUCUUGUGCGAUGCGGAGUCUUUGAGGAUUUACCUUUGGAGUUCUCUCAGAAGAUGGUCCGUGUUUUGCAAAUAAAUCAUCGCACGCCGAUCAACUUCACAAGAGUGCUUGCUGAUGCACUGGACGCAGUUGGAGAUCCUAUGGUAGUUAUGGUGGGCUCACCCAAAGUCCCAGCAAUCUGUCAAAACAUAAAAGCCUAUAUGAUUAUUAAGGAGGAUUUGCAUGAUGUUCCGAAGAUAAUGGCUCUUCUUCGUUCUGAAGAGCCGAGUUGUGUAAAUCAAGAGGCUGCACUGCCAAAAAAAUCUGCUGGCAUCGAAAGCAUUCCUAAGGCUGUACAGGAUACUAAUAAGGCGAAGAGUACAAGUGAAAUAGAUUUAAGUGAUGAGAAUGCUCCCUUCUGGGAUGAGUUUCAGACGUUUCAGGUCAACAAGCAAGGCCAGGCGAGUUUCAUAUUCCAAGUUAUUCUAAAAGCUUCUUUUCUGCAGAAAGAUGCAAGGGUCACUAUUCAGUUCCUUAGAAGUGCCGUUCGAUGGCUGGAGCAAACAGGCUUUGAAGAAAAGAUUGAUGCACAAUUGUUGGAAGAGGCCAGGCACAUCUGCAGUCAGUUCGGAGAACGUUCUGCCAGGACGGAGAAGACAUCGUGUCUGACUCUGGAGGAUCUGUACUCAAUGUGGCAAGAUGGUGAGAAGAAACUGCAGAUGAUCAUCAGCUUCCUGUGUUCUGAAAGGGCGGCCGCGAAGGAAGGCGGCAGGAGGAACGAAGUCCAGUGGCAGGUUGAUGGGGCAGACGAAUGGACUGAAUGCUCAGACAGCGAGACCGAUGCCCAGUCGCAGACCGACGAAGCAGACGAAUGGACUGGGUGCUCAGGCAACGAGGCGGAAUGGGUGGAGGAGGAGGAAGCGGCGGCACAAAAGGCGGCUCGGGGGAGGAAGAGCAACAAGAAACCCAAAGAACCGCACAAAGGCCGUUUCAAGAACGUGAUCUCCAACGAGCCGGCAAUAGUGGUGUAG
RNAcentral lists this ribosomal RNA (5886 nucleotides) under Triticum aestivum (bread wheat). RNAcentral describes it as "partial small subunit ribosomal RNA". Lineage: Eukaryota; Viridiplantae; Streptophyta; Magnoliopsida; Poales; Poaceae. The record is from RNAcentral.